UAGGGAAUCUUCGGCAAUGGACGAAAGUCUGACCGAGCAACGCCGCGUGAGUGAAGAAGGUUUUCGGAUCGUAAAACUCUGUUGUUAGAGAAGAACAAGGACGUUAGUAACUGAACGUCCCCUGACGGUAUCUAACCAGAAAGCCACGGCUAACUACGUGCCAGCAGCCGCGGUAAUACGUAGGUGGCAAGCGUUGUCCGGAUUUAUUGGGCGUAAAGCGAGCGCAGGCGGUUUCUUAAGUCUGAUGUGAAAGCCCCCGGCUCAACCGGGGAGGGUCAUUGGAAACUGGGAGACUUGAGUGCAGAAGAGGAGAGUGGAAUUCCAUGUGUAGCGGUGAAAUGCGUAGAUAUAUGGAGGAACACCAGUGGCGAGGGCGGCUCUCUGGUCUGUAACUGACGCUGAGGCUCGAAAGCGUGGGGAGCAAACCGG
This 429-nucleotide ribosomal RNA is filed under the name Gemmatimonadota bacterium. RNAcentral's name for it is "Gemmatimonadetes bacterium partial 16S ribosomal RNA". It matches the Rfam family "Bacterial small subunit ribosomal RNA", at positions 355 to 776 of the family's 1533-position model. The record is from RNAcentral. Lineage: Bacteria; Pseudomonadati; Gemmatimonadota.